AUAAUUGAACACUAAUCAACUGAUACAGGUUGCAUGUUUUGUGCCUCUUUCCUGAGAUCUUCAUACAGAACAGAUGACAAGUACCUCUCUCCAAAACUUGGAUGAAUUGUCACUAUGAGUUUUCCUUUAUUUUCUGGUCUGUUGGCGAGUCUAAGUGCGGCUACAGUAUUUGCUCCUGAUGAUAUACCAACCAUAAGGCCUUCCUUCAAUGCCAACUCCCUAGCCAUGUUUACCGAUUCUUCACUUGAAACCAUCAGAACUUCUUCCAUUACAUCCAUGUCAAGGAUAUCCGGCUUGAAUCCAACCCCAUUGCCAGUUAUUUCAUGAGGACCUGGUUUUCCACCAUUCAAUACAUUGCUUUCAGCUGGCUCGAUUCCAUAUAUCUUGACAUUAGGAUUUUUCGAUUUCAGAUAUUGUCCAACACCAGAGACUGUGCCUCCACUUCCUAUUCCCAUGACAAAGAUGUCAACAUUACCUUGAGUAUCUUCCCAGAUUUCAGGGCCAGUAGUCUCAAAAUGAACUUGAGUAUUGGCAGGAUUGGAGAAUUGUUGAAGCAUAUAAGCAUUAGGUGUAGAUUCCAAAAGAUCGUAAGCUUUCUUAAUAGUUCCUCCCAUUCCUUUAGUUGGAUCAGUGAUCACUAAAUCAGCUCCAAAUGCUCUCAUGGUUACCCUCCUCUCCAAGCUUGUAUACGAUGGCAUUGUCAAAAUCAUUUUGUAGCCUUUCAUGGCAGCCAUAAAUGCCAUACUUAUUCCCAUAUUCCCUGAUGUUGGCUCGAUUAGUGUUGUUUUUCCAGGGGUGAUUAAUCCUUUCUUUUCUGCAUCAUUGAUCAUAGCAAAUGCUGGUCUAUCUUUGAUACUAGAAGUAGGUUGCAUCAUUUCUUGUUUAACAGCAAUAUAAGCACCACAUCCUUCACUCACUUUGUUUAGAUACACCAAUGGUGUUUUCCCAAUGAGUUGAGAAACUUGAGUUUUGAUUUUGGUACCAGGAAGGUACUUUGGCAGAUCUCUUAGCCUCUGAACAAAUGAUGCUUCACUCGAAUAAAAUCUUCUCCUCACCAACGACGCCAUUGAUGAAAUUUAUUUGAAGCCUGUAAAUGUCUAUCUCUCUUCAAAUUUCAAAAGAUAAAAUACCCCUUUUAUAAUGGAAAAUUACGGUAUAUACAGAUGAAUUUUUCCUAUACCUAAAAAUAGAAUUUUGUUAGUAUAAUAACUAUUUAUUUUUGGCCGAG
Molecule: unclassified non-coding RNA, 1228 nt
Filed under: Hevea brasiliensis (rubber tree)
Lineage: Eukaryota; Viridiplantae; Streptophyta; Magnoliopsida; Malpighiales; Euphorbiaceae
Source: RNAcentral